ACUCUGCAAACGCUACGGCUUUGCAGGUCGGCUUUUCAACAUGUGGUCAGCCGGCACUGUCCUCCUUCGGGAAAUACGCUACACGGUCUGGUAUAGCGUCUAGUAGCACGUCGAACGGCGCGGCCAGC
Molecule: non-coding RNA, 128 nt
Submitted as: unclassified sequences
Source: Rfam